UACGUAGGGUGCUAGCGUUGUUCGGAAUCAUUGGGCGUAAAGCGCGUGUAGGCGGCUUGUUAAGUCGGGUGUGAAAUCCCUGGGCUCAACCCAGGAAGUGCAUUCGAAACUAGCUAGCUAGAAGAUGGUAGAGGAAGGUGGAAUUCCAAGUGUAGAGGUGAAAUUCGUAGAUAUUUGGAGGAAUACCAGUGGCGAAGGCGGCCUUCUGGACCAUUCUUGACACUGAGACGCGAAAGCGUGGGGAGCAAACGGG
RNAcentral lists this ribosomal RNA (253 nucleotides) under uncultured bacterium. RNAcentral's name for it is "partial 16S ribosomal RNA". It matches the Rfam family "Bacterial small subunit ribosomal RNA", at positions 524 to 776 of the family's 1533-position model. The record is from RNAcentral.